AUUGAACGCUGGCGGCAUGCCUUACACAUGCAAGUCGAACGGCAGCACGGGUGCUUGCACCUGGUGGCGAGUGGCGAACGGGUGAGUAAUACAUCGGAACGUACCUUAUCGUGGGGGAUAACGCAGCGAAAGUUGCGCUAAUACCGCAUACGCCCUGAGGGGGAAAGCGGGGGACCGUAAGGCCUCGCGCGAUUAGAGCGGCCGAUGUGUGAUUAGCUUGUUGGGGAGGUAAAAGCUCACCAAGGCGAUGAUCAGUAGCUGGUCUGAGAGGACGAUCAGCCACACUGGGACUGAGACACGGCCCAGACUCCUACGGGAGGCAGCAGUGGGGAAUUUUGGACAAUGGGGGCAACCCUGAUCCAGCAAUGCCGCGUGAGUGAAGAAGGCCUUCGGGAUGUAAAGCUCUUUUGUCAGGGAAGAAACAGCAGCUCUAACACAGUCUGCGAAUGACGGUACCUGAAGAAUAAGCACCGGCUAACUACGUGCCAGCCGCCGCAGUAA
RNAcentral lists this ribosomal RNA (501 nucleotides) under uncultured bacterium. Its description in RNAcentral is "partial 16S ribosomal RNA". It matches the Rfam family "Bacterial small subunit ribosomal RNA", at positions 30 to 523 of the family's 1533-position model. The record is from RNAcentral.